GUAGGGGUGGAGCCGGGCUGAUUGGUGACUUUGAGCUUGGCGUCUUUGAAUUUGUCAGCUUCGUCGUCGAGGUCGCCUCUCCAUGGCGCUUUAGAUAGCAAUUCUCUCUUCCCCUUAGCCAUUUUGCAGGUGUUUCUGCGGCUGCUCCGCCUCGCUAUGUGAAUUGCGGACUACCGUCCAAGAAGAGAGUGAAAGAUAAGGAUCGCCCUUGGAGACGUCUUUG
Molecule: unclassified non-coding RNA, 223 nt
Filed under: Hevea brasiliensis (rubber tree)
Lineage: Eukaryota; Viridiplantae; Streptophyta; Magnoliopsida; Malpighiales; Euphorbiaceae
Source: RNAcentral